CUCCAGCCAAUUAAGCUGACUGCCCCCCUCUCCCCAUGGGGUCCCCAUGUACAGUGGCUGCAUUCUGCAGCCUCCUUGGUAGUGUAUGCGGCCUGCUGCUUGUACGGAUUGCCCUAAGGGACUUGGAGAAAGCC
Molecule: small nucleolar RNA, 134 nt
Filed under: Dasypus novemcinctus (nine-banded armadillo)
Lineage: Eukaryota; Metazoa; Chordata; Mammalia; Cingulata; Dasypodidae
Description: Small nucleolar RNA SNORA70 (ENSDNOG00000046000.1)
Rfam family: Small nucleolar RNA SNORA70
About the family: snoRNA U70 seems to be exclusive to mammals and is a member of the H/ACA class of snoRNA which contain H (ANANNA) and ACA box motifs.
Source: RNAcentral